RNAcentral lists this ribosomal RNA (460 nucleotides) under uncultured bacterium. RNAcentral's name for it is "partial 16S ribosomal RNA". It matches the Rfam family "Bacterial small subunit ribosomal RNA", at positions 338 to 795 of the family's 1533-position model. The record is from RNAcentral.
CCUACGGGUGGCAGCAGUGAGGAAUAUUGGUCAAUGGACGAGAGUCUGAACCAGCCAAGUAGCGUGAAGGAUGACUGCCCUAUGGGUUGUAAACUUCUUUUAUAUGGGAAUAAAAUGUUCCACGUGUGGGAUUUUGUAUGUACCAUAUGAAUAAGGAUCGGCUAACUCCGUGCCAGCAGCCGCGGUAAUACGGAGGAUCCGAGCGUUAUCCGGAUUUAUUGGGUUUAAAGGGAGCGUAGGUGGAUUGUUAAGUCAGUUGUGAAAGUUUGCGGCUCAACCGUAAAAUUGCAGUUGAAACUGGCAGUCUUGAGUACAGUAGAGGUGGGCGGAAUUCGUGGUGUAGCGGUGAAAUGCUUAGAUAUCACGAAGAACUCCGAUUGCGAAGGCAGUUCACUGGACUGCAACUGACACUGAGGCUCGAAAGUGUGGGUAUCAAACAGGUUUAGAUACCCUUGUAGUC